Non-coding RNA from Anolis sagrei ordinatus, 179 nucleotides. The record is from RefSeq and is a predicted model, not a curated record. Lineage: Eukaryota; Metazoa; Chordata; Lepidosauria; Squamata; Anolidae.
UACGUUGCCUUCUACCUUUCUCUCUUUUAGGUUGAUUUUUACUUGCCUUUCUUCUACGUUGCCUUCUACCUUUCUUUCUCUUUUAGGUUGAUUUUUACUUGCCUUUCUUCUACGUUGCCUUCUACCUUUCUUUCUCUCUUUUAGGUCGAUUUUUACUUGCCUUUCUUCUACGUUGCCUU